UGUCUUGUCCCCUUUAAUAAGAUCCUGCUGGUUUUUAUUGGUCUAAUAUAAUUGGUAUUACAGUCUGACCCACUGGGCACCAGGAAGCGGAGG
Chelonoidis abingdonii (Abingdon island giant tortoise) is the source of this 93-nucleotide non-coding RNA. The record is from RefSeq and is a predicted model, not a curated record. NCBI's taxonomy places the organism in Eukaryota, Metazoa, Chordata, Testudines, Testudinidae.